UAUGCUAUGAUGAGAUGAAAACACGUAAAGUGUUGAUGGGCAGUGGAGUUGGAUCUUCUUAUUGGAAGGUCUGCCGUGAGCCCUCUUUUUUUAACGACUUCUCCUUCCACUGAGCUCU
RNAcentral lists this small nucleolar RNA (118 nucleotides) under Theobroma cacao (cacao). RNAcentral describes it as "snoRNA snoZ152". It matches the Rfam family "Small nucleolar RNA Z152/R70/R12/". Rfam says of the family: Z152 is a member of the C/D class of snoRNA which contain the C (UGAUGA) and D (CUGA) box motifs. Most of the members of the box C/D family function in directing site-specific 2'-O-methylation of substrate RNAs. Lineage: Eukaryota; Viridiplantae; Streptophyta; Magnoliopsida; Malvales; Malvaceae. RNAcentral also lists the same sequence under 1 other name. The record is from Rfam by way of RNAcentral.